RNAcentral lists this non-coding RNA (30 nucleotides) under Bombyx mori (domestic silkworm). Lineage: Eukaryota; Metazoa; Arthropoda; Insecta; Lepidoptera; Bombycidae. The record is from RNAcentral.
UGUCGUUCGUUGCUGGAGCACGGCUCCGAU